GUGUUUCAGGUGUAGAGAGGAGAGUGAACAGGGAGUGGGGCUUUUGUCUGUUGGUCUCCCUGGACUGAAGAGAGGGAGAAUAGAAGCCCAAGACUAAGAUUCUCAAAAUGGUUUAUUACCCAGAACUCUUUGUCUGGGUCAGUCAAGAACCAUUUCCAAACAAGGACAUGGAGGGAAGGAUUCCUAAGGGAAGACUUCCUGUCCCAAAGGAAGUGAACCACAAGAAGAACGAUGAGACAAACGCUGCCUCCCUGACUCCACUGGGCAGCAGUGAACUCCACUCCCCAAGAAUCAGUUACCUCCACAUUUUUUAA
Nomascus leucogenys (northern white-cheeked gibbon) is the source of this 314-nucleotide RNA transcript. It is a transcript of the gene named neuronal regeneration-related protein pseudogene, with no coding region annotated. NCBI's taxonomy places the organism in Eukaryota, Metazoa, Chordata, Mammalia, Primates, Hylobatidae. The transcript has a single exon. The record is from RefSeq and is a predicted model, not a curated record.